RNAcentral lists this long non-coding RNA (1685 nucleotides) under Pogona vitticeps (central bearded dragon). Its description in RNAcentral is "lncRNA (ENSPVIG00000008076.1)". The record is from RNAcentral. Lineage: Eukaryota; Metazoa; Chordata; Lepidosauria; Squamata; Agamidae.
GCCCCACCCGAACAAUGUUGCAAGUUUGUGGUAUGCUCACGCCUGUGCCAAGGUAGAGCAAACUUGGAGUAGAUUAAGAUCCCCAUGGUAAAAUUCACCCCUUGGGUGUGAUAGAAGAGUUCUGACUCGGGAGCAAUGGGAACAAGCCAAAAGAACGAGCGUUGAGACAGAGAGAGUUUGAUAGUUGCUUUGGGCAUAUAUAAAACACACUGAUUAACUUUGCCAGAAUUGGGAGUUCUUACAGGAAGAUCCCCAAAGUGCAAUGAACAAAAGAAUGCCAUCAGAAAAAGUGAGACCUGCACACAGUGCCAAUGGCUCCUCUUCAGUGUUCUAGUCAACUGGCUGUUCUAUGGUACUCUCCCUCUAAAAGCUCAGUACUCACUAGACCCCUGAGUCCCUCUCCAGGUUAAUUUCUACAGAUGUUCCAUACCUCUCCAAUCCCAGAAAGAAGAGGAAUGAAAAAUGUCCAGUGAUUUAUAUUACAUGCUUAAUAAGGAAAACUGUGAUCGCUCAAAUAAAACAGCUGUGUACCAGGAAGAAAAAGAGAAACAAUGAAAGAGAAUGCACUAAGGAGACAGCAGCAAAUAAAAUUCCAUAUGUACAUAGCCACUGUACAGUAAAGAUGACAGCAAUGUGGUGUGCUCUGAAAGUUAAGUUGUCACACUCAGUUUCUCAUAUUUGUUGACAAACACAAGCAACUGUAAGCUGAGUCAUGGCAACUGGGCUUCUUUCUUGUUAGAUUGAAACGAUUUGCUACUCAUUGAAGUAGCUUCUUCAGUCUGAGGAAAGUUGGUAGGAGACUCGUGAUAUAUCCUCCCCAUUGGUUUCAUUUCUCCCUGGCCUGAAUAGGCUCAUUAGAUGGAUAAUGGAUUGGGAUUGAGUGAAAUAUCCCACCUCUGCAGUCCUUCUCCACACAUUGACUCUCAUUGCAACACAUACUAAGGGUCAUCAGGAUGCUAAACUACAGAGCAAGAAACAUCCCCACCUCCACAGAAGCAAGAAGAAGGCCUGUGAAUAACCAAAAUGGGCUUUUAACAAGGUAGUGUCCCAACCAAGGAGGACAAUGGAACAGUCUGAGACCCAAAGCUGAGGGAAGAAUCUGGUCAUUCUUUACAUGAUGGGUGUGUCUGAAAAGAUCAAAAGGAUCUUUUCAGACCCGUUCACUUCAAACCCACUAAGGCAGAGAAUCGCCCACACAGAAGCCCACACACCAAAACACAAGAGCAAUAUACUAUAUGUGGUCUGAUGCAAAGACUUUUCGGAGCUCUACGCUGGAGAAACCAAACAGCCACUACACAGGAGAAGGCCCCAGCACAGGAGGGGCAAUGACUCAGGACCAUAAUCAGCAGUGUUCCAUCAUUUAAAGCACUGGUUCUUAACCUUGGGUUACUCAGGAGUUUUGGACUGCAACUCCCAGAAGCCUUCACCACCAGCUGUCCUGACUGGGGUUUCUGGGAGUUGCAGUUCAAAAGCAUCCGAGUAACAAAGGUUAAGAACCACUGAUUUAAAGGACAAAUGGCACACAUUUGAUGACCAAGAUGUACUCAGAAAAUCCCUCACUCAACAGGGGUGGAGGCCUUAGAUACAAUCUGUCUCCUAUUUAUCAUCCUGCCCUUUUAUCUGUCCCCAGAAAGAUGGGGAACACAACCACCUGAAAGACCACUGUUAACGACCCACGACAAUGG